RNAcentral lists this ribosomal RNA (529 nucleotides) under uncultured bacterium. RNAcentral's name for it is "bacterial SSU rRNA". It matches the Rfam family "Bacterial small subunit ribosomal RNA", at positions 980 to 1509 of the family's 1533-position model. The record is from RNAcentral.
CUUGACAUACCGAUGACAGGUCUAGAGAUAGAGUUUCCCUUUUAGGGCAUCGGAUACAGGUGGUGCAUGGUUGUCGUCAGCUCGUGUCGUGAGAUGUUGGGUUAAGUCCCGCAACGAGCGCAACCCCUAUUGUUAGUUGCCAUCAUUAAGUUGGGCACUCUAGCGAGACUGCCAGUAAUAAACUGGAGGAAGGUGGGGAUGACGUCAAAUCAUCAUGCCCCUUAUGACCUGGGCUACACACGUGCUACAAUGGGAAGUACAACGAGUUGCGAGGCGGUGACGCCAAGCUAAUCUCUUAAAGCUUCUCUCAGUUCGGAUUGUAGGCUGCAACUCGCCUACAUGAAGUCGGAAUCGCUAGUAAUCGCGGAUCAGCACGCCGCGGUGAAUACGUUCCCGGGCCUUGUACACACCGCCCGUCACACCACGAGAGUUUGUAACACCCGAAGUCGGUGAGGUAACCGUAAGGAGCCAACCGCCUAAGGUGGGAUAGAUGAUUGGGGUGAAGUCGUAACAAGGUAAGCGUAGAUGA